GAGUGUUCUUUUGUGGUAGUAUAGACUAACUACCACAUCCUAAUCCUUUGACCUUGCUAUACAAUCAUUCACUGCUAUCAAGCUAUAUUAUUACAUAUCAUCUAUAAAACUAACCACACUAAGGAUAAUAAUUGAGUUGUCGCAGUCCUUUUAACCAAGUCUUGCAUCUUCUACCUCUUGCAUGAAUAUGGAUUGCAAUUUCUCUGCACAAUUUGUUUUCAUCAAAAGGUUGUUUCUGAAAUUGUAUUGCAUUUCUCCCUCUCCAAAUCAAUGAAACAGUAGUA
Molecule: long non-coding RNA, 284 nt
Filed under: Nicotiana benthamiana
Lineage: Eukaryota; Viridiplantae; Streptophyta; Magnoliopsida; Solanales; Solanaceae
Description: long non-coding RNA (NBEN_LNC023966)
Source: RNAcentral